Molecule: ribosomal RNA, 253 nt
Filed under: uncultured bacterium
Lineage: Bacteria
Description: partial 16S ribosomal RNA
Rfam family: Bacterial small subunit ribosomal RNA
Source: RNAcentral
UACGGGGGGGGCAAGCGUUGUUCGGAAUUACUGGGCGUAAAGGGCUCGUAGGCGGCCAACUAAGUCGGAUGUGAAAUCCCCAAGCUUAACUUGGGAACUGCGUCGGAUACUGGAUGGCUUGAAUUCGGGAGAGGGAUGCAGAAUUCCAGGUGUAGCGGUGAAAUGCGUAGAUAUCUGGAGGAAUACCGGUGGCGAAGGCGGCAUCCUGGACCGACAUUGACGCUGAGGAGCGAAAGCCAGGGGAGCAAACGGG